This is a long non-coding RNA of Agelaius phoeniceus (red-winged blackbird), 431 nucleotides long. RefSeq lists it as uncharacterized. NCBI's taxonomy places the organism in Eukaryota, Metazoa, Chordata, Aves, Passeriformes, Icteridae. The record is from RefSeq and is a predicted model, not a curated record.
AGUAGGUGGUGGGAAGCAGAAAUGUGUUUUCUUUCCCUGUGGACACAGAGAUGUCUUCUGCAAUCACUAAAUAAGAAGAUCUUAAAACUGGGUCUGCAAGAGAGCAUGAGUUUGAGAGCAUCCUGUAUUACCAAUUUCAGUGAUUCAACUUUCAGCCAUUGCAUGAAUCAUUAUCAGUACCUCAAGAAAGUAGUAGAAUACAAAAAGAUCUUACUGCUUCUGCCAUUCAUUGUGGUUUUGGAGAGUUUAAUUCUGUCAGCCAUUCUUCACUCUAGAAGAUCCCUAUUUAUUGAAGCAUGGAAGUUUUGUAUGUGCUAAGGAAGAAAAAUGGAAAGGUCCAAGACAAGCUACAAACCUGAGCUAGGAGUACAAACUUUCCUGAUUCUCUUCAGCCAGGGUGCUCCUAUCAUAGUGAAAAAUUACAGAUGAAC